This 253-nucleotide ribosomal RNA is filed under the name uncultured archaeon. RNAcentral's name for it is "partial 16S ribosomal RNA". It matches the Rfam family "Archaeal small subunit ribosomal RNA", at positions 474 to 726 of the family's 1478-position model. The record is from RNAcentral.
UCCCAGCGGUCCGAGUCGCAGCCACGAUUAUUGGGUCUAAAACAUCCGUAGCUUGCCUUGUAAGUCUCAUGUGAAAUCUGGCCUCUUAAGGGUCGGGCGCGCAUGAGAUACUGCGAGGCUUGAGACCGGGAGACGUAAGGAGUACGGUAAGGGUAGCGGUAAAAUGCGUUGAUCCUCAUCGGACUAACAAUAGCGGAGGCACCUUACGAGAACGGAUCUGACAGUGAGGGAUGAAGGCUAGGGUCGCAAAGUG